GGAGGUGCGGAGAGGACGGAGCCAGGCUGCACCCGGCAGUGCCCAGCAGGGGGACCGCAGGCACUGGGCACACGCUGCAGCGCAGCAGUUUUCCCCACAGUGCUGCCACGGCCGCGCUGCUUCCCCGUUUUGGGUACUACUACUGGAUAUGUAUGGCUGGGCUAAUAAACCCCCAGAGACCCCACUGUGGUGCGCAAGCUAGGAGGAGCGAUCCCCCUUGCACCCGGCGUGUUGCACAGCGCUGAAGGAAAGACGUAUCUGCUCUCAUAACCUGACGUGGGUUCGAGAGUUUAAUUCCACAGGUCAGUUGGGCACCCCAGAUGGGACACUCUCUGUUCGGCUGCAGGACCAGUUGAGGAGGGAGACGCCUUUGGCGCGCCCCGAGAAUUCUUGGAAGGACUCCCCCUGCUCAUCCGAUCACUGCGGGGACAGACGGGGACCAUGUGGAAGCGGACCAGAUAAAAGACUGGUGAUGUUUCUUACUGGUGCUUGAAAACAAACACUCCAAAGCCCACGGAAAGAUCACCACCUCCAACCACAAAGCUACCAGAGGAACUGUAGAGCAUAACAGCUUCUAUAGCUACUGCUAUUAGAACUUUUUGAUCUCAAGUGCCUGCAAAGAUCACUCAAUCUGUCAGGCCUCCCCUGCCUCAUUUCCAACCUUCCCCUCAGCGAGCAGCUUUCUACCUCAGUCUUUAUUUUCUGAAAAAUCCUCAGGUGUGGCAUUUUGAAUCUGCCAACUCUGGUAUUCUUGAGCAACUCCAUCCUGUAGAGCAGAUACACGCUUUGAGAGUAGUGAUUGACGUGGUUCCAGCGUGACAGUGCAGCACACGGGUGUCCUUUUCCAUCUUCGGGCCCACCUUACUGCCUUUCCAACCUGUGCACUGAGUUGCAAUGACAUGUCAGUAUCGGAUCCGUCAGCACUGUGCUGAGCCUCGCCUUACUCAUACUCACCACUGGAUGUUGCUCAGCUUUAGCAAUCGUGUUUCUGCUACAGAAGGGCUUGCAGGAUAUCUGUAGUAUUGAUCUGGCCCGAAGGUGACAACCUUCCAACCUGCUGGUCUCUGCCCAUGUUCUCUGUCACAACAUCGGAUGUGUGUGCUCGCUGGAUGCACUGGUAAGAAAUGUAUUUGAGAAGAGAACCUCGUGCUUCCCAGAGCAGUAAGACUGUGAGGAUUUGGGAGGCUUUUCACAAACCUGAUUCAAGUGUGCUUUCCCAGAUGGCGUGCUGUUAAAGCAGCCCUUCUCAAAAGCAGAGCGUUGUGCCUGGUGUGACUUAAAUCCCACCCACAAAGGAGCAUUCCCUGCAGUCUCAGGUGCAUGUUUCCCCCACUGCUGGAACUGCUGGACUUUCAUGCCUUCACUGUGUGUGUUUGGGUCUCUUUAUUAGCUCUGUUUGUUCUACUAGCUGUAUGCAAACGUAUUGGGAGGAAAUGAAAAGAUCUUUGAAAAUAGCUUGGAGAUAUUAACCUGAGGCAAGAAGGCGAAUUUUAUUGCCUUAAAUCAGGCUUCAGAGGAUGUCCUUGAACUCAGAAGCUUGGACUUUGUUGUAGCUUGAUAUUUACUGCUUGAACUUUCUAUAACUCUAGGACUGGAGGGAGAGCUUUUCUUCACACCUUGCUGUGUAUGAAAUCUACACUUGAACUGGACUCGAGACGGGCAGAAAUGUAGCUGAGCGGAGCCUCCAGCAGCUCAGCCCUUUCCUUCAAACAAUGAAGAUGGCUUUAAUAUUCGUAAGUCAGAAAUCUCGUAUCAAAACUUAAUUCUGGUAUGGACACAGCCUCGCUGUGGAAGACGUGGCAGGUGUGGUCUUUGAGUCACCACAGGUGUGGGACACGUGAAGUAAUCUGGACGUGUUUCAAUUUCUGUGUAUUUUUCCCCGUUUCUCUGAUCAUUUCUCUGUAUUGCUGCAUAUGGCAGGGAUUGCUGUCCUGGCCCAGAGCUCUGUUCCCUCAUGGGCUGCACUCGUUUUGCUGUCCCAUCAUUUGGGUUGCACAGGCCAUCCACGGCCAGUGUUCCCAUCCUCCUGGGCCUCCACACACAUGGCAGUUAGCAAGAAAGAGCAAAGUUGUUCAACCUUGUCCUAAAGUUAUCAAUCUGUUCAUCCAACCUGUGCCUUGGUCGCAGUGGCAGCGUGCCGUUAGCAAUGCCGUUCAUUGUUUCAUGAGAUUCAGUGUUAGUCAUUUUAGAAUGCCCAUCCCUGCGAUGUAUUCUGGGGCGGGGACAGUCAUCACAGGAUGCAGUCGUUGGGGGAGGUUUCCUAUUCUCAUUUCUAUUUGUGUUUGUACAGCUUCAGUUUGUUUCCCUCCCAGCCCUAUAAUAAUUACCAGUUGUCCUUCACGUUUCUUGGGGUUCCCAUAUGUUAAGGAGGUCUCUGCUCCGGGGUCAUUUAAGGCUCUUACAGUUUGCGAGGACCCGUUUUUCCAAAAUAUUUGGAGCUGCACGAGGGGUUGUUGGUCCUGCACCCGUUGCGUUGGAGCUUGGCCAUCAUUUCAUUCUUGUCUUUACCUGGAGCUGCUUCCCUAACCUCCUUCCAAGGUUACAAACUGGAACAUGGUUCCCAAUCCUUCUCCCCUAGAGCAGCUGAUCCUCCCGCGUUGGGCCCUGUGAGCAGAUGAGAGUCCCACUGAGGCUCUCAAGGGAGUGCAGUAGCUGGAAUUGUUCCUGGGCUGUUUGCUUUAGAAUGUGGCACUUUCUUGCUAGGUUUCUUAACCCCUCUCAGUUUGUGCAUCCUCUGUAAUUCAGGAAUUGGAAAACCAUCCGUCUUAUUGUGAGGCAUCCUGUCUUGUAAUAAAGCUAUAAACACUUAUUUUCAAGAAAU
Lagopus leucura (white-tailed ptarmigan) is the source of this 2821-nucleotide long non-coding RNA. RefSeq lists it as uncharacterized. The record is from RefSeq and is a predicted model, not a curated record. NCBI's taxonomy places the organism in Eukaryota, Metazoa, Chordata, Aves, Galliformes, Phasianidae. The transcript is spliced from 5 exons.